This 374-nucleotide unclassified non-coding RNA is filed under the name uncultured bacterium. RNAcentral's name for it is "contains 16S-23S intergenic spacer region". The record is from RNAcentral.
UCCGAGUUGUCCCCGGCAGUCCUUUUAGAGUCCCCGGCAUUACCCGCUGGCAACACGCCACGGGGGUUGCGCUCGUUGCGGGACUUAACCCAACAUCUCACGACACGAGCCGACGACAGCCAUGCAGCACCUGUGGUGCACCCUCGAAGGUCACACGUUUCCGUGCGCUUGCAGCACCAUGUCAAGCCCAGGUAAGGUUCUUCGCGUUGCAUCGAAUUAAAGAACAUGCUCCGCUGCUUGUGCGGGCCCCCGUCAAUUCCUUUGAGUUUCAGCCUUGCGACCAUACUCCUCAGGCGGGGUACUUAACACUUUUGCCUCGGCCGGGGGCCCAUGCCGGCCCCCAGCCUGGUACCCAUCGUUUAGGGCCAGGACUA